Molecule: ribosomal RNA, 470 nt
Filed under: uncultured organism
Description: bacterial SSU rRNA
Rfam family: Bacterial small subunit ribosomal RNA
Source: RNAcentral
GACGAACGCUGGCGGCGUGCCUAACACAUGCAAGUCGAGCGGAGGUAUUGAGUAGUUUACUAUAAGAUACUUUAGCGGCGGACGGGUGAGUAACACGUGGGCAACCUGCCCUAUACAGGGGGAUAGCCAACCGAAAGGUUGAUUAAUACCGCAUAACCCACAGAUACGGCAUCGUAUUUGUGGCAAAGGAGCAAUCCGGUAUAGGAUGGGCCCGCGACCCAUUAGCUAGUUGGUGAGGUAGAGGCUCACCAAGGCGACGAUGGGUAGCCGAUCUGAGAGGAUGAACGGCCACAUUGGAACUGAGACACGGUCCAGACUCCUACGGGAGGCAGCAGUGGGGAAUAUUGCGCAAUGGGGGAAACCCUGACGCAGCAACGCCGCGUGAGCGAUGAAGGCCUUCGGGUCGUAAAGCUCUGUCUUUAGGGACGAUAAUGACGGUACCUAAGGAGGAAGCCACGGCUAACUACGUG